Hippocampus zosterae (dwarf seahorse) is the source of this 8398-nucleotide long non-coding RNA. RefSeq lists it as uncharacterized. The transcript has 3 exons. Lineage: Eukaryota; Metazoa; Chordata; Actinopteri; Syngnathiformes; Syngnathidae. The record is from RefSeq and is a predicted model, not a curated record.
UGCCGCCACGACAGGCACCAACCACCUUACGGCCACAACUCAGAUUGGCCGCCUCAACAAUAGAGGCACGGAACAUGGUCCACUCGGACUCAAUGUCCCCCGUCUCCCCCGGAACAUGGGAAAAGCUCUGUCGGAGGUGGGAGUUGAAACUCCUUCUGACAGGGGAUUCCGCCAGACGCUCCCAACAAACCCUCACUAUACGUUUGGGUCUGCCAGGACGGACCGGCAUCUUCCCCCACCAUCGGAGCCUACUCACCACCAGGUGGUGAUCAGUUGACAGCUCCGCCCCUCUCUUCACCCGAGUGUCCAGAACAUGCGGCCGCAAAUCCGAUGAUACAACUACAAAGUCGAUCAUCGAACUGCGGCCUAGGGUGUCCUGGUGCCAAGUGCACAUAUGGACACCCUUAUGUUUGAACAAGGUGUUCGUUAUGGACAAUCCGUGGCGAGCACAGAAGUCCAACAACAAAACACCACUCGGGUUUUGAUCGGGGGGGCCGUUCCUCCCAAUCACGCCCCUCCAGGUAUCACUGUCAUUGCCCACGUGAGCAUUGAAGUCCCCCAGCAGAACAAUGGAGUCCCCAGCAGGAGUACUCUCCAGCACACCCUCCAAGGACUCCAAAAAGGGUGGGUAUGCUGAGCUGCUGUUUGGUGCAUAUGCACAAACAACAGUCAGGACCCGUCCACCCACCCGAAGGCGGAGGGAGGCAACCCUCUCGUCUACCGGUGUGAACCCCAAUGUACAGGCACUGAGCCGGGGGGCAAUGAGUAUGCCCACACCUGCUCUGCGCCUCUCACCGUGAGCAACUCCAGAGUGGAAGAGAGUCCAACCCCUCUCGAGAGAACUGGUACCAGAACCCAGGCUGUGUGUGGAGGCAAGUCCGACUAUAUCCAGUCGGAAAUUCUCUGCCUCACACACCAGCUCGGGCUCCUUCCCUGCCAGAGAGGUGACAUUCCAUGUCCCAAGAGCUAGCUUCUGCAGCCGAGGAUCGGACCGCCAGGGUCCCCGCCUUUGGCUGCCGCCCAGCUCGCAUUGCACCCGACCCCUUUGGCCCCUCUCAUGGGUGGUGAGCCCAUGGGAAGGGGGACCCACGUUGCCUCUUCGGGCUGUGCCCGGCCGGGCCCCAUGGGUGUAAGCCCGGCCACCAGGCGCCUGCCAACGAGCCCCACCUCCAGGCCUGGCUCCAGAGGGGGGCCCCGGUGACCCGCGUCCGGGCAAGGGAAACCUAGAUCCAUUUAUUUUUGUCGUCAUUGGGGUCUUUUGAGCCGUGCUUUGUCUGGCCCCUCACCUAAAUCCAAUUCCUGAUUAUUAAAGUAAUGUAACCUGAUAACUUGUAAUUACUUUUGGAUUACUAUAAUACCAAAGGUGAUUAUGAAGUCCACAACUAUGUCAAUCACUAUUUAUUUGCACUUUUGGGUUUUAUGACUACUUAAUAAUACACAUGGUUUGGGGGCACCCAAAUUCCAAAUUUUAAAUCUCAGAAUUUUUAGGCAGUCAGGGUAAGCACUUGUUCACGCUCCUGCGGAUGGAUGGACGGAGGGACGGACUAACAGACAGAGAGAAGGCCGCAUGAAACAAUUGCUUUGUUGCUGUGGUAUAUGGUUUUUGCUGCUUCGCUGGUCUUCAAAAAACACUCGGUGAUCGGUGGCUGUUUCCCGACGAAUGAGCACUUCAGGGACCACGGCUGAUUGGGAAAAGAUUUUAUUCAACCAAUGUCAGAGUGAAGUCUUUCCAAAAAGUUGAGUGGCCCAAGGCAUGGAUGUAAAAAAGCCCCCCAACCCCUGUCAGGCCCGUAUCUUUUAUACCUGGCACGGAGCUGAUGUCAUGGCUUUGUGCACCAGCUGCGGUUUUCAAUCUACUAGUUUACUUCAGUCCUAAAAAGGAGAUCUUGACCAGCGCUGUUGGUGAUGGACGACAACAGCCACUUUACCUUAUUAUAGGAUUGCACACAUUGCUGAAACUGAAUUCUCCCUGACCAGCAAAUAUAGAAUAGAAUCGUGUCACUGACGCCAGGUGGACAUUCUAAGGCCACCUACAGGAAUAGAGAGGGAAUUCCAAAUUACACUUCAUUGCAUUACGUAACUUGUUUUCGAACUGUCCAUGAAGGCAACACCACACAGGGAUACUGUAUUCAAACCGUAAGGAAACGUACAUUUGAUUCCUCCAUGGAGUAGUUCCAUAAUGAGUGGAAUGGAAAAAUCUUUUGAAGGUAAUAUCUGCAGCGGUAUCUAAAAACUCACUCCCCACUCCCCCGUCACACAUGUGCGCGUAAACCAGGGCUUCUCAAAUAGUGGGGCGCCCCCCCCCCCCCCGCCCCCCGGAAGCUUUGUCCAGGGGGGCGCGUUUGACCUCGGGGAACAUGCUUUUUAAUUUUUUUUAUUUCAAUUUUUUUACUGUCCUAAAGUGCAGUUGCACCUCCACUACAUUAGGAGGCAGUGGCACUCUCAUUGGCAGAGUGUGCACAGGGAGCAUUCGAAGGGAGGAAAUAUGACGAAGCGUAUGUAGCACUUGGCUUCACUGUGACUACGGUGGGAGACUGUCACAGACCGGUGUGUUUACUGUGUCAUAAAAUGUUGGCAGCGGACAGCAUGAAGCCAAAUAAAUUAAGGCACCACUUAAAGACAUUACACCCCAAUUACGCUGAUAAGUCGCUUUAGAUUUUUCAGCGAGAACGUGCCGAAUAUUGCCAACAAUCAACCUGCUUUGUGACUGCUACUUCAGUAAACUACAAUACAGGUCCCAGUUACACAUUGAGCAAGAGCUGAGAGUCGCUGUGUCUUGCUUCAAACCUUGCUUCGAAAAGCUCUGCAUUGCAAAACGCGCUUAUUGUAGCCAUUAAUCCAGACAUCAUCUUUGAUUUAAAAAAAAAUCAGCACAAGUUAUUUUAGGUAUUUUUGUUUUGCAGGUUGCACAUUCCAAAAAUAUGCAUGGCAGGCUGAUUGAACACUCUAAAUUGUCCCUAGGUGUGAGUGUGAGCGUGGAUGGUUGUUCGUCUAUGUGUGCCCUGCGAUUGGCUGGCAACCGAUUCAGGGUGUCCCCCGCCUACUGCCCGAAGACAGCUGGGAUAGGCUCCAGCACCCCCGCGACCCUAGUGAGGAUCAAGCGGCUCGGAAAAUGAAUGAAUGAAUGAAAAGGUUGCAAGUUUUUUUUAAUAUUAUGCUCCUGACUUAAUGUUGGCGAUCAGUUUGCAUUAUUUAUUGACUUUAUGUAAUUUUAUUUUUCAGUAUUGUAUGGUCAGUCAAAAAAUGUUUACAGUUUAAUUAAGGAUUUUGUUUUAUUUUUGAAUUUCAGAUGGACUUUAAAUCUUUUCUGUUACAGUUAAUAAAGCUAAGUUAGUCCAUAUUUCUUUCUUUUCGUUAAUAAGAAUACAGUGUUAUGCAGAGGUGUACUUAUACGAAUUUUAUAGACAAAUUAUACUAUUUAUAGUUGUGCAGGGUUAGGGGGGCUUCUUCCUGGGGCAUGACAGAAAAUAAUUGAGAAGCACUGGCGUGAACGCAUGUAAGCACAUUGAGUAAUGAUAUGCGAUGACCAUCCAUGAUGUGACAGUGAAGUAUCCUGUUUAUUUUCCGUGCCAAGUUUAGCUGUGUUUAUUGUUAAGAUGGUUUUAAAUCAGGGGUGCCCAAACUUUUUGGACCGAAGAUCGACUUUUCAAUCAACCAACCUCCCGGGAUCGCCCCUUACUGCGCACGCGCACACGCUAUGACGAGAAACAGUCUGACACGGAGGCAUGCGAUACUCUUUUGCAGCAUAGCUCACACGUACCGUUUUAAAGUGCUUCCCUGGCCCCACUAGAUUCCUAUUUGUUGCCCGUGCCUUCGGUGAGUUCUACACCAAGCAAACUCUGAAUGAGAAUAAUGACGAUCAAAGAUAUAGCGCAACAGCUCUGAUCAUAAGCUGCAAUUUUGACUGCUGAGCGCUAACAACUUCCGCAGACGUAGGUCACGCGCCACCGUAGGCUAAAUAUUUACCUGCUUUAUUUUAUUUUAUUGUAUUCUAUUUUAUUUUUUCAAUAUAUUUUUGUGAAAAUGAGACUGAAGGAUGAUUAGGGUGCAGUGUACAUUAACACAAAAAAACUGUAUAUGACUAACAUGUACAAAGACACACAAAUGGUUGUUUUUUUUUCCUCCUCUUUCCACCCCUCAGAUCUACUUAGGACCAGUCCUAGUUCUACCGGUCGAUCAAGAUUGACGUAAUGGGCACCCCUGUUUUAAAUAAUAAAUCGGUUGGUGAUUUGUGACGCAAAGUGAAAUUUAUGUUCGGAGGAGUGGGCUCGCAGCUAGCAGGUAGCUCCAUUGUAGCAGCUGACGCUGUGGGCCUCUUUUCAAGACAUUGAAAGACAGUCUUUCAAUGUCUUGGAGCAAUACGUAUUAAGGAAAUACAUUCUCUUGUUGCGCUCGAAUGAAGAAACCUGGCUAUGGCCUCUGUGUCUGCAUUGAAGAUGCAAUCCUAAAAAAAGAAUCCCAAUUUUUCAUAAAUGUAUCGGUUAUGUGAUUACCGUAAUUUCCGGACUAUAGAGCGUACCUGAUUAUAAGCCGCAACCACUACAUUUUUGAAGGAAAAAACAUUUUGUACACACACAAGCCGUACCUGUCUAAAAACCGCAGUUGCCCAUAUUGUAACAUGAGAUAUUUGCAAAGAAAAAGGGUACACAGAAAGAGGUUUCAACGUUUAAUAACUUAACUUUAACUUGUCUUUCUAAAUAGUACCUGUAAAGCACGACGGCAGUAAAACAGCACUCACACGUCUGGUUUAAAAAAAAAAAGGCACUGUUCCCUGUCGAGUAAUGCUUUGUUUUAAAAUGAAAAAAAUCCUCGCUUGCCAUUACACCCGGUCAACCAUUCCUUCAUUAGGCGUUCUACCAUCCACGCUUUCGUGUCAACUUUCAGGACAAUCUCUUUCGGAAGGUUUUCUUUUGGCAUAAUGUAAGCUAGUGAACAACACUUUGGCUGUUGUUGUGACGUCUUCAUGUAUGUUUGAGCUCGCUGCAAACAUUUCUCCAUUUGAGGCUUGUUGGGGAGGCCGAAAUGCAGAUUUAUGCUAAGGUUAUAAUUUGCAACGGUGCGUUUGUGGUGCCAUAUGAUACAUACACCAAGAAGAGGGCGGGUGACGAGGGCUCAUUGAAGAUUCCACCAUGCACCCUCCGAAUGUACUGUAGAUGUUGAGGUGAUGGAGCCGUGCGCUUAAUGGCAGCCACCUCUUUUCGCUGCUCCCACCCCCUCCCUUGCAUCUUCUGGCUGACUGGCUGGCUGGCUGGCUGCCAUUGCGACCGUCUUCCUUGGCCUGCUGCUGCCGCCACAGUUGCCGCCUGCCUGCCUGCUUCACUCACUCGCCAUUUUACCCGGCACCCCGUUAUGAAAUUUUCAGCAGCUUUGCAGCACUUAAGUCAUGCGCUACAGAGUGGGGAGAAGACUUGAUACAUACAUGGCAGCUGUGUGUGUGUGUGUGUGUGUGUGUGUGUGUGUGUGUGUGUGUGUGUGUGUGUGUGUGUGUGCGUGUGUGUGUGUGUGUGUGUUUGUGUUUACACGAGAUGUGCAUGUGUGCCUGUGCUUGGUUGUGUGAGUGUGAGAGACAGUGAGUGAAGGACAUGAACCCAUUUAGUUUUGCUUCAUUUGUUUUUCAAAAUAAAAUAGGAAUUAAAAAAAAACUAAAACAUGACUUGUUUUGUCAAAAUUACUCCAAAAACCAAAAUGAAAAAAACACAAAUUACUCAUUUUCUGAUUUUCGAUUGUGUCUGCUAAUGGAAAAUGGAAAAAACAACAACAGAUGAAUAGCGAUUGCAUAUGUUGUCCAAUGUCUUAAAGCCUCCUCCGUAGACAAGUGUCGUUUUGUGUUUUGUGUUUUUUGGUACAUUUUUCUUCGACCCAAUUAUUGAGGGUAUUGAUGCUAGAUUUAGGAUUUCUGUAUCGGCAGCUGACACGUUUUUUUUUCCUCCAUUCAAUUUUGUUUUCAUUCAAUUCAAUUUGAACACAUUCUCGAAUGUUAUGUAUGACUGUUGAUCUGUCGUCAACAACAGGGGUGCCCAACCUUUUUGACCCAAGAUCUACCUUUCAAGCAACCAACCAACCUCCCGCAAUUGACGUGCUCAGAUACACGGAUACACGCACGCACACACAUAUGGCAUGAUGAGCAACAGCCGUAACGGCCCCUAACAUGAUAGAGACAGAAAAUGAAAUAAAUACAAGAGUUUAUGAAAAGGAAAUCACUGCCUACCUUAGUAGAGGCCGGACGGGGCGGCAUGGCACACGCUUUUGCAGCGUGUUGAGUGCAGGAACAUCGCUCUCGCUAUCUUAACUCAUGUGUCCCGUUUUAAUAAAUGCGCACAAACACAUCUUUGCACACACAAACACACUUGCUAUGGGUCGAUUGUGGUCAAUUAGUUGGGCACAACCUUGUGGGUGAGAUUUUUUUUACCGAACAACAGUGCCACGCCAGCACUAUUCUUACAUCAACGAUACACCUUAUAAAAUACACAAUAAGCCAUUAAUGCAACAACAAGAAGAAUGCUCUGGUAGCAGUAUUAAAGAGGCCUGUUUAUGGCUGCACCUUUGGAAUCAUGGGCACAUGUUAAGCCUAAGGUGAAAAGAACCAAUAAACUUAGCAGAAUGGUUGUCUCCGGCACCGGAAGCAGGAGCACAUGUCAGUCACUCAGGAUGUUUGGCAAAAACAAAUCAGAGCGCUCGUGUAAUACAGUGGCUACAUUGCAUUUGUUGGUCGUGUGCUAACAUGAUCAGCACAUCGUUGGCCACAUAGGAUAAUUGCCCAAGUCAGGGGUCGGCAACAUGCGGCUCCGGAGCCGCAUGCUGCUCUUUAGCGCCAUCUAGUGGCUCCCAGGAGCUUUAUAAAAAUGUUUGAAAAUAGAAAAAGAUGUGGGAGGAAAAUGUAUUUUUUUGUUUUAAAUAAGGUUUCUGUAGGAGUAAAAACAUGACACAAACAUUCUUAACGUUUCUCAAUGCUGUAAAAAUGUGUAGAAUAAAUAUUACUGUUUCAAUGCAAGUGGCUGUUGCAAAAAAAAAAAAUAAUGUUUCAUGUACAAUUCAUCGAGAGUACUGGCAAAGAGAAUCUGGAGGGCCGUGAAAAGCAUUUUUAAAACGGUACACAUGAGCUAUGAUCGUCAAAAACGCUGCAAAGGUGCGUCCCAUGCCUCCGCGUAAGCAGGCAUGCAUCUGUAAGUGUGUUGUGUAUGAGCGGGCCAAUCGCGGUAGGUUGGUUAAACGAAAAGUAGAUCUUCGGUCAAAAGAGGUUGGGCACCCCUGCUCUACAGAAUCAACUGCGCGGGAAAAAAAAGCAUUUAAUCAUGAAGGCUCAUCGUGUAAUUGUAGCAAAUUUAGUCAUUUUGAUAGUAGGCUAAUAUAGCUCAUAUAGAUAUAGAUACUGUACAUGUUGCAGCUCCGAAAAAGACGAGAGCUGUGGUGUUGUUUUUUAAAAAACUUACACUUUAUUUAUGCUUUUAACAGUCUCGACAAACACAAACACAGAGACAUAUGCGUCCGAUUCCGUGCCUUCUCUCCUCUCGUUCGAAUCGAGAGGCGUUCAAAGAUAGCCUCUGAAAAAUGGAAAUUAAUGAUUACUGUACUUCAAUGACACAAAGAAAAACGAAAAUAAUGCGCCAAAACCACAUAAAAAUAAAUUCUAUGGGGGGCGUUUGGAAUGAAUAACAUAAACAAUUCUGAGACAGUCCAGUCUCCUACAUACAUACAGCAUGUGUUUCCUUCAUUAUAUGUUUUAUAGAAGGCUUUUAUGUUUUUUGCGGCUCCAGACUUUUUUUGUUUUAUCCUAUAUGGCUCUUUCAACAUUUUGGGUUGCCGACCCCUGGCCUAAGUCAUAUUUCUAUUUUUUGAGGGGGAAAAAGAAAUUAAAUGAUUGUUUUGUUUUUGGGUGGGGGGGGGGACGACGACCAAAUUGUGUUAUAAUAAUAUUUUUUUCUUGUAUUCCAUAAACAUUGACAUAAGGCUGAGGCAAUUAUUGCACAUGCUCGGUGCAUAUUGCGAGGUCAUUCACAGCUGUGCUGUUGUUCUUGUAUAAAAAAAAUAUUUUGUAUCACGCAACAGGGUUUUUUGUUGUUGUAUGGGGGGCAGGAAAGGGAGAAUGGUGUUAAUGCAUGAAGAUUUUUUCACACUAGGGUGUAUUUUCAACCAUGUAGGUUUCGUUGUAGAGGAGUUUCACUGUAUUGUCACACGCAAUGUGGUUUUAUGCACACGUUUGCAUUUUCAACUUUAGAUCUCAUAUGGGCAAAACGUCUUAAAUGCAGCACGACUUGUGCGUCCACGUGCAGUCCACUGCAUGAGAAAAUCCAAAGGAUGUCUAUUGGGCCAUGCGGUGGUGGUCUAUGCAUUUGUAGUUGCUCUUCCAAACCAAAUGUUCUGUUUACUGAUCCAUGUUUUCUCUCCUUCUGCUCUUCUC